UACCGGCGGCUCGAGUGGUGGCCACUAUUACUGGGCUUAAAGCGUUCGUAGCUGGGUUGUUAAGUCUCUUGGGAAAUCCACCGGCUCAACCGAUGGGCGACCAGGGGAUACUGGCAUUCUAGGGACCGGGAGAGGUGAGAGGUACUCCAGGGGUAGGAGUGAAAUCCUGUAAUCCUUGGGGGACCACCGAUGGCGAAGGCAUCUCACCAGAACGGCUCCGACAGUGAGGAACGAAAGCUGGGGGA
Molecule: ribosomal RNA, 245 nt
Filed under: uncultured archaeon
Lineage: Archaea
Description: partial 16S ribosomal RNA
Rfam family: Archaeal small subunit ribosomal RNA
Source: RNAcentral